ACGCUCGACACCUACGGGAGGCAGCAGUGGGGAAUAUUGCACAAUGGGGGAAACCCUGAUGCAGCGACGCCGCGUGGAGGAAGAAGGUCUUCGGAUUGUAAACUCCUGUUGUUGGGGAAAAAGAGGAUGGUACCCAACAAGGAAGUGACGGCUAACUACGUGUCAGCAGCCGCGGUAAUCUGAGCGGGCUGCAAGGC
This 197-nucleotide ribosomal RNA is filed under the name uncultured bacterium. RNAcentral's name for it is "partial 16S ribosomal RNA". It matches the Rfam family "Bacterial small subunit ribosomal RNA", at positions 328 to 538 of the family's 1533-position model. The record is from RNAcentral.